CUAGGUUUUUUUAAAUCAAAUACCUAAUUGUUUAAAUUUGUUAACUAAAUUUAAUUUUUUACAUUCAAUUAGGUUAAAAAUGGGGGAUAACAAUGAAAACACUGACCAACCACAACUGCAACAACCAAACCCUCAUUUUCCAAACCCCCCUGCAAUUCAAGAUUUGAUUGCACAAAAUUUGAAUGAAUUGAGGGGGAUUGCAGAAGUAUAUCGUAGGAUCCCUCGUCUAAACCCAAUGUUUGAUCCUCUCACGUCAAUCAUAAAAAGUAUGGAAACCAUGACUGAGGAGCACGAUGAUGCCCUUUUGUGGCGAGAUUCUAUGAGGGAAAAAUAUGCAGAUGGCUUGUCGUAUAAGGAUAUCAAGGAUCUUGAGAUAUCCAAAGCCAAAAUUACCUCAUUUUUUGUCAAUCCCCAUACUGGUCAGCCCAUAGAUCCCAAAAAUACAAAAAUUUCUAUUAAAUAGUGCACAAAUGAUGGGAUUGUGAAAAAGUUUUGGGAUCGUUGGUGGAUGGUUUUUGACAAACCACCCAACAACAAUCUUGAUAUCCCCUUCUAUUUCAUAAAAAAAUUGUAUGCUGAGUUUGUUUUACACAAACAUGUGAACUACUUUGACAUCCAACCUUUCCAGGGUGUAGGUUUAGGUAUGCCCCAAAAUAGACCUGGGGCAGUCAGAGUAGUCCAGGGCCCAUAUGUCCCCCUUCCUCCUGUUGAUCCCCCACCUACAGUUCAGCAUCUUGAUAUCAUUUGUGAGGCGGUUUCACGGACCAUAUCGACUAUUCACUCUUUGAGUAGCCUUUUGGUUUCUUAGGCUGUGUCAGUAGCUCAACCUACUCUUGAUGGUAGUGGUGCAUCUGGUGCCGGUGAAACGUCAUCUUCGGCUCCACACAUAUGUGUGCCCCAUAGUUGUGUCAUUUGUGGGCACGUAUGCUUGGGUCCAGUUGGACAGCCUGUUGAUCCUCCUAUGGAUAGUGCAGAUUAUGAGGUGCAUGAGAUGCAUGAUGCACCAGAUGUUAUUACACAGACUAGAGGAUACCCUGGGGAGUCCUCACAUGCUAGAGGCGAGGAGGCAGCAUCAUCAUACAUUGAUGAUGUAGUGUUGAUGAUCGAGGAUGAGUUGAGAUAGAUUCAGGAGGGCACCUUGUCAACCAUUUCAUUUGGCCUUGAUAGCUUGAAGGGCACAAGUAGCACGAGUGCAGGGCAGUGUGAUUUAGGAUCUGGUAGUGCAGUUGGAGACAAGGGAAAUAGAAUUCUUAGCUUCACAUCCUUGAUGACUACACCCAGUAUACUUGAAGAAGAAGAAGAGAUGCCUCGAGUAGAUGUUGUGUAUGAAAAUAUUUAAAACAUACCUCCUCUACCGAAGACAUACAUCAAAAGUCCUGCAAAGCUGAAGAGAAAACAUGGAGAUGAGGAUCCUUCAGAGCCGAGCAGUGCAGCGAAAAGGAUUGAUUUUGAUGAUCCAUCAACAGCUUAGGAUAUUAUAGAUAGUUUUGGGAUGCUUACAUGUCUAGUUGACAUGUAUAUUUUGUAUAUGGACAUACA
Long non-coding RNA from Cryptomeria japonica (Japanese cedar), 1539 nucleotides. RefSeq lists it as uncharacterized. The transcript has 6 exons. The record is from RefSeq and is a predicted model, not a curated record. NCBI's taxonomy places the organism in Eukaryota, Viridiplantae, Streptophyta, Pinopsida, Cupressales, Cupressaceae.